RNAcentral lists this ribosomal RNA (274 nucleotides) under uncultured prokaryote. Its description in RNAcentral is "partial 16S ribosomal RNA". It matches the Rfam family "Bacterial small subunit ribosomal RNA", at positions 524 to 798 of the family's 1533-position model. The record is from RNAcentral.
UACGUAGGGGGCGAGCGUUGUCCGGAUUUACUGGGCGUAAAGGGUGAGUAGGCGGUUAUAUAUGUCAGGUGUAAAAAGCUAUGGCUUAACCAUAGUAAGCACUUGAAACUGUAUGACUUGAGUGCAGGAGAGGUAAGCGGAAUUCUUAGUGUAGCGGUGAAAUGCGUAGAUAUUAGGAGGAACACCGGUGGCGAAGGCGGCUUACUGGACUGUAACUGACGCUGAGUCACGAAAGCGUGGGUAGCAAACAGGAUUAGAUACCCUGGUAGUCCCU